RNAcentral lists this ribosomal RNA (440 nucleotides) under uncultured bacterium. Its description in RNAcentral is "partial 16S ribosomal RNA". It matches the Rfam family "Bacterial small subunit ribosomal RNA", at positions 338 to 795 of the family's 1533-position model. The record is from RNAcentral.
CCUACGGGUGGCAGCAGUGGGGAAUAUUGCACAAUGGGGGAAACCCUGAUGCAGCGACGCCGCGUGAGUGAAGAAGUAUUUCGGUAUGUAAAGCUCUAUCAGCAGGGAAGAAAAUGACGGUACCUGACUAAGAAGCCCCGGCUAACUACGUGCCAGCAGCCGCGGGAAUACGUAGGGGGCAAGCGUUGUCCGGAUUUACUGGGUGUAAAGGGCGUGUAGGCGGGAGGACAAGUCAGAUGUGAAAUCCCGCGGCUCAACCGCGGAACUGCAUUUGAAACUGUUUUGCUUGAGUACAGGAGAGGUAAGCGGAAUUCCUUGUGUAGCGGUGAAAUGCGUAGAUAUAAGGAAGAACACCAGUGGCGAAGGCGGAUGACUGGACGGCAACUGACGGUGAGGCGCGAAAGCGUGGGGAGCAAACAGGAUUAGAUACCCCAGUAGUC